UGUUUGCUACCCUGAAGAUACCCUACGUCCCUGGUGAAUGUAAACAAAUUUCAAUUUGAAAAGUGCUGAGACCGUUUUCCCAUCUUUUAAUCUAGUUUUGAUGCGAAACGUCACCUUUUAGAUCGAAAUUUCAUCUGGUCAAAGGUUGACAUCGGGUAGGCAACAUGGAUUCCUUCAAGGUUGUCUACCUCCAGGUGUGCCGGGAGAAUGGGAUCACCCCGCAGCAGAGUGUCCUAGAUCAGCUGAUGGAUGCGGACCCCAAGUCCUCUCUCCAUAGGAGUGGGUCCAGAAGUAGGUCCAGGUCCAGGUCUUCCCUUACCACCCUUGACCUGUCCACGACCUCACUGACCGUGCAGACAUGCUCGGUGCUAGGAAGGGCUCUGGCAACCAAUCAUAUCAUCCAGGAGCUCUUGUUGUCGGAUUGCAUGAUUGGAGAUGAAGGUGCCAAACACCUGCUCCAUGGGUUAUGUUCAAAUACCUCUAUCAGAGCCUUGGACCUCAAAGGGAACAACAUGAGAGGGGCUAGUGCUGAGGCCAUGGGAAAACUAUUCAGACAGAACCAUUCAAUCAAAAGGAUCUGUCUGGAAUGGAACGCUUUAGGCAUAGAGGGCGCAAGAUUCACCAGCCUGGCUGAAGGGGUGUCAGCAAACAGCAGUCUGGAAGUCCUAGACCUGAGGAACAAUCAGAUCGGCCAUGAUGGAGCCAGCCAGCUCGCUACGGCCAUCACCAGGAACAGCUCAGUACAGAAUAUAGAUCUUAGAUGGAAUAAUGUUGGUAUCGUUGGUGGGAGAUCUCUAUUGGCGGGCCUACAGCAUAACCAGACCGUAACUGAGAUGGAUCUAGCAGGCAACGAUAUACCACAGGACAUUCUGAAGGCUAUUGGACUGCUACUGGAGAGGAAUAAAGAGCGAGCCAGCCUUUCGGCCACACACCAGACAAGGCAGGAUAUCAUGACCAGAGAAAUCAAGCAACUUAAGAAUGAGAAACAUCAGCAGGGCAGGGAUCUGUUGAGGAGAAUUGAUCAGCAGAACGAUCAAAACGGGAGAAGCAAACGCGACACAGGCAAGAAGAUCCGCCUUCUGGAAGAGGCGUUGUCCGAGAGGAAGUCGGCCUUCAAUGCAGUUGCUGCAAAAUUAUCCAAAACAGAAGCCGAGCUGUCCUUGGUGUCCCACAGAUCACACGACCUUGACACUGUCCUUGAGGACACAAGACAAGAGAUGACCUCUACUAUGACCUCACACCAGAGAGAUAUGCAGGCACUGAGAGAGGAGAAAGUGGCUUGUGAGACGAAGCUGAUCACAGAGCUAUCAUCGGUCAAGGAAAGAUACAGAGAGUACGAGGCGAAGAACGAAGAGCUGGAAAGGAAAGUACAGCUCCAGCAGGAACAGGUCUAUGAGCUGAAGGAAGAACUGAUGGCAGCUCAGGCCGAGGUGAAGAUGCAAGCUACUAGGACUGAAGAGCUGCUGCAGGUAGAGCGCAUCAAGCACAGGGACGACGUCGGCGGCAUCGACCGGCGACAUCGCUCCGAGGUCCAGCACCACCGUCAAGGGUUCGAGGAGAGCGAGCGGGCGUACAAGGACCGCAUCGAUCGCCUGGAGGACCACAGGAGGGGCAUCGAGGAGGAGCUCAGCAGGGUCAAGGCCCAGCAGCUCACCGAUAGACUCUCCCUGGAGGAACAGAUCCUUGCCACCAAGAAACAAGUCAGGGAUGAAGAGCAUCAAAGAAGCAAGCUUUUGGAAGACAAGAUCAGAGUUCUCCAGAAUGCAAAAGAUGAUAUCCAGCAGCAUGCGAGCAACCAAAGCCAGAUAGUCGCUGAGGUACAGGCUCGAAACAGCAACCUGACACUGGAAGUAGAGUCCCUCAAGAGACAUCUUCAGGAGAUGACACAGGAGCUAGCAGGGAAGAACAACGAGAAGAUGUCAGCCGUGCAUCACGCAGAGCUCCAGCAUCAGAAGGAGUCUCAGAGAAUGGAGACGAAGCUAGCCCACUUACAAGAGUUCAAGGAGCAAGCCGCAGAUUUGGAAGCAAAACUCUUGGAUCAAACCAGGAGACACAGGGUUGAGUUGGCCAGCAAGCAGGAGGAGGUCGACUCCUUGCAAGAGCACCUGAGAGUCAGAGACAUGGACAUAGCACGCUACCAGGAGGAGGAGAACCACAGAGCCAGCGCGCUCCAGUCUGCUCUCUCGAGCUAUCUCAAUGCACCCCGCUCUCCAGCGGUGACACCCAGGAGAUAGCACAGAUGGGACUACAGUGGAUUAUGUCAGUAAGAUCCUUUAAUCAUGAAGUUUGAAAUGUUCUUACAGCUAGGAAACUUCAUGUAAACAUAAUAUUGUAAGAGUCACAGACACGAGUAGUACGUAGAGUUUCCCGUUGUGACUGCUAAUUCCCCCGACCCCAUUUCCAGAAAUACUACCUGGAGAUAGCACAGUUGGUACUUCAGGGAGGUAAAGUAUUUCUGUAAGAUCCUGUAUUUAUAAAGCAGCUUAUUUCUUUCUAUUGGGAAAAGUUAGAUUUAAUUUUAAUUUUAGAGUUAGAAAUUUCUAGGUGUUAUGAGAUAGAUAUGAAGAGUUUGCUGUCGGGCUACACCCCCCCCCCCCAACCCCUUUUCAUGAAUAUUCACGUUUAUAGAAUUUAUCCUGGAAGUUCUGAUGUCAUGCUCGAUCCAUGAACUGUUUCUCCUUCACUGUUUCGUGGAUAAACUCCAUGAACAAACAGAGACAUGAAUUUUCACGUUUAAUAGAAUUUAUCCUGGAAUUUUUGGUGUCUUGCUCUAUCCAUGAACUGUUUCUCCUUCACUGUUUCGUGGAUAAACUCCAUGAACAAACAUAGACAUGAAUAUUCACGUUUAAUAGAAUUUAUCCUGGAAUUUCUGAUGUCUUGCUCUAUCCAUGAACUGUUUUUUCUUCACUGUCUCGUUGAUAAACUCCAUGGACCGGAACACUGCAUUCUUCUAUUAAGAAAUAUGCAAGAUAUUUUCUACAUUAAAGAUGCAUGUUUGUUUUUUUGUUGAUAGAUCCUAUUUUAUUAAAGUUCUAUUAAUUUAUCAAUUUAUAAUUAUUCUUGUUCAAAGAAGAUAUUCAUUGAUUUUAGAUACUGAUUUUAUUAUUUUUAAAGUUGCCCGCAUGCUUAGACCAUGUUUUGCAAUGUGCUCAAUAUUGCCUUUUGGUGUAUUGUCAUGAAGUAACGUCAGCAUAGGAAAGUUUUUUUGGUUUCAACAAAGAACGUUUUGCGGUCACAAUGUUUCCUGCAACACUAAACAAUCGUUCCUCAAUGGGUCUAGACCCUCCUUCCCCAUCCCCACCAUAACGUUUUUUGUUCAUAAGUGAGUUGCCAAUUUUGUUUGGUCCACAGUCUUGAAUACGAUGAUGUUUGGAUUUCUUAGUGAAAAUGCAUGUUUCAUCCCUUUCUCAUACCCGGUGCAUCUCUUCCUGACAUGCUUUAUGAACACACAAAAGGACAAGUGAGAUACCUACCGGGGACAAAACCCUCAACAAUUUCUUGGGGAAGCACCAGCAAGAAGUAUUGCCACUGACAACAUGAGGUUACCAGCAGGAAGUCAGCCAUGAAAGGCUGGCUAUGCCACUGACGGGUAUAACCACAGAUCGGCUUGUGCACGCAUAGUUGUUUUAUGGCAACCAAACUCCCUUUCAUCUGGCUGACCUCACCAUUGCAAAGCGGGCAAAUUUCAAACAGCUUUCAAAUCCUGUGUAUUUCGUAUUCCAUACCACAGGUUUUUCGUAAUGCUUCUGAUAAAUGGCAUCUUUUUGGCUGCGUCAAUGUCGUACUGUCGUCUAAACCCAGAAAAAACAUUUUUUACAUAAAAUUUUAUCUCAAAUUGUUGCAGUAGUUGAGGUUGCUGAGGAGCUUUCUUCUGUGAGGACUGCUUCCUGGAGUCAGCCACUCCUCUCUGUCCUCGAUAGGCCCAUGCUCACACUUGGCGUCUCAUCCCAUACCUGACACCCAGGAGUGUUUGUUUGUGACGUGAUGUGUCAGACCACGCCACUUGUUCUGUGUGAAGAAAGGUUGAUGUUAAAACACAUCUAUACAGGAUAAAACUGCCUGAGACACCUUAUCAUUUCUCUAAACUUGUUGGGUCCUGUGUUGGUGCGCCACAUAAAUUCGUCCAAACAUGAGGGGAAAAGCGCUCUUGAUGUUCCGAACUGUCGUCCCAGCUCCCUCUUUGCAAGGUUCCACUUGCCUUCGAUCGUGUUGGUAUGGAGCCACUCGUGGAUAGGAUCGACGAAAUGUUCUUCAUGAAUCACGACGUCAUGGAGGUCGACCCCGCCGUUCAGUUGGUCCAGCUGCUAGUAGGCUCUCCAACCAUCGCUUAUGAUCUGGGUGCCUUGUAGUAGCCACCUCGAUAUUAUCGGUUCUAGUGUAGGGCCUGAACAGUUAGGCACCAUUUCUAGCUGACACCUUCCUGUUGCCCUUUCCACUGCGCCAAAGACCCAGAAGCUCUCGCAGUAGGCGCCCCUAUGAUAUUUCUUAUGGAAAUAUUUACUUUCGUCAAUCUCGACCACGGUCGCUUGCCCAUCCACGUCGAAUCCUCCCAGCUGAUAGAAAUUAGCUAUAAGGUCCUGCCCACAGACUUCACGCAACAUGUUUGCCCAGUUCACUGACGUUAAUCGGUCCUCGAGCUCCUUUUUGUUUUGAUUAAAAGAUUUGAGAUUGGCUGCUGUUGCUCCAGAAUCCUUUUCAGCAUGUUAUGGGUGGAGCCCCAUCUCGUUUCAACGUCUUGAAUUAGUUUAUGUUCUGGAAACUUGAGGAUUCUUUGAUGGUUAGCUAACCUGUACUCUGCUUUUGCUGAUUGAUGAACAAACUCAACUAGUUUUGAACACCUAGCAAGCAUCGAAUGGAUGCCCAGACAUUUCAAUCUGGCUUUAACGACAAGGGAUAUUUGCUGCAGUUUCCUGGAUGAUACUUGGGUCAGCUCCCCGUAGAGCUCUAAAGGGAUAUUUGGUAGGUCCAAUCCUUAGUGCACUUUCUUUGAUGGGUUAAAAUUACACUUGAAAGUGAAUCUCUUUGAUGCAUACAUCAGGAUAUGAUUAUUAAUCGACUCUAGCAUGCUGGUAUGCCUGUAAAAAUAAACAAUUGUAUGAAAAGAGGAAUUGUCAUAAAAUCAACAUCUGGCUUACAAGUAAACAACAAUAUCAACUACAUUCAAACAUACCUACAAACUGUGUUUUAUUUAUCAGUGUGUUGAUCAAGAUUCUUAUUAUCAUAUGUACUGAUAUCAGAUUGGAUCAAAAUAUGAUUGAUGUCUGCACUUUAGAUGCAGCAAAGUCUGUCAAACUGUUGCUUUAUUUGAUUUAUUGCCAAAACAAGACAAUACAAAAGAAAUCUCACUCGAUACUGGAUCAUGGCUGAAGCCAAAUCUACAAAAUCACUGCAGUGCACUUAAUCCAUUCACAGCAAAAGAACACAGAAUAUAAGAGAAAAUUUGGACGAAUUGGUUAGCUAUACAACCAAUACAAGCGAUCUAUCAUGACCCCGCUGAAAACGCAAAUUUCAUUACUUUUCAACACUUUUCAUUACCUCUGAACAGCAAGAGUUAUCACUUUUCCUUUUAUAAAUUGUCCUUUUGAUGUACGUUGGCACUCUGGUUAGUCCACCUGUAUCCACCCCAGGCUCCCCGAUGAAGUACGCCAUGAGGGGAGCUUUGGGGUCCACUUCCUUCUUCUUAAAGGAAUUUAAGAUGUUACGGAGGAGGGUGUGCCUGCGUACAUUUAACCGAAACUGAGGUACAUCGUCGUCUACUUGAGCAGUCCUCCAGCUGUCCAGGCACUCUAUCACUCUUACAUGAUGAAGAUGGUGAAGAUGUUGGUGAUGUCGUGACCAAGAACAAAGUAGUUUUAUGCACCUGGAGGGUCCAGAACAGGUGAAACCCUGCACUGGAGUUUCGAGAAUAUAUUUAAUUACACCUUGAGGUAAUUAAAUUUUUGUUCCUUGAGAUUGCCUUGGUAAAAAAGCUGUGUAUUGAAGAUUUAUUUCUCCGAUUCAUUCUGACCGAACACAGGGUUAAUUGUGGCAGGGCGAGGCCACGUGCAAGUACUUGCUGAAUGUUUGUCGGUCAGCAUCAUUUCGAUAUGUCGCAGUUGCAACAGUCUUUCUGAUGACUCGUGUGCUUAUUUUCCCUUUCAAGCCCAGCUUGGUCCAGGUCUUCUGGAGCACAACGCUGGGCUUGUCGGUCCUCUUUCCAGCUUGGAGGAAGUAUGGCGCUGUGUCACCUUCUCCAUCUUCUCGGAUCUGUUCUAGGUACGUCCUGAAGUAUGCCCACUCCUCUGCGUUAACUAUCAAGUUCUGACAGCCACAUCAAGAACAUGAAAUCUCCCAUGAUAAUAGAAAAUACGAAUGAUUUGAAUCACCAUUUUAUGCCUUUUAAAAUGACUUUUACAAAAUAUUUUCAAGGAUGCUAAUGGCUUUCCAUAACUUUUAAGUCCAACUAAGAGAUAAGUUCGACUUAGGAUCUUUGUGAAACACCUCCCAGAGUGUGCUUUACGGUACACGUAUUUUUUCCAAUGAGCAAAUUUCAGAGUACGCAUUGGAAUGUAAACAUUGAAAGAGAAGACGAGACCCAUUUUAUUGCCAUUGCUUUUGAAUCAGACUUUAUAGUUUCGCAUUUGAUAAAAAUACUCCUUGGUAUAUAGCAACUCUAUGUUGAACGUAAUUAUACAGUGCGUCCC
RNA transcript from Strongylocentrotus purpuratus (purple sea urchin), 6683 nucleotides. It is a transcript of the gene named leucine-rich repeat-containing protein 45, with no coding region annotated. The record is from RefSeq and is a predicted model, not a curated record. The transcript has 14 exons. Lineage: Eukaryota; Metazoa; Echinodermata; Echinoidea; Camarodonta; Strongylocentrotidae.